ACUAGAAAUCUAAUGACAUCUUAGCAGGUCCUGUCACCAUAUGAAUCUCAAAAUUUCAGAGCUGGCAGGGACUUUAAAGGCCACCAGGGGCCGGGCGCGGUGGCUCAUGCCUGUAAUCCAAGCA
Long non-coding RNA from Sapajus apella (tufted capuchin), 124 nucleotides. RefSeq lists it as uncharacterized. The record is from RefSeq and is a predicted model, not a curated record. Lineage: Eukaryota; Metazoa; Chordata; Mammalia; Primates; Cebidae. The transcript has 3 exons.